RNAcentral lists this ribosomal RNA (253 nucleotides) under uncultured bacterium. RNAcentral describes it as "partial 16S ribosomal RNA". It matches the Rfam family "Bacterial small subunit ribosomal RNA", at positions 524 to 776 of the family's 1533-position model. The record is from RNAcentral.
UACAGAGGGUGCGAGCGUUAAUCGGAAUGACUGGGCGUAAAGGGCGCGUAGGUGGUUAGUUAAGAUUGAGGUGAAAUCCCUGGGCUUAACCUAGGAACGGCCUCGAUGACUGGCUAGCUUGAGUACUGUAGAGGGUAGUGGAAUUUCCGGUGUAGCGGUGAAAUGCGUAGAGAUCGGAAGGAACACCGGUGGCGAAGGCGGCGCUCUGGACCGAGACUGACGCUGAGGCGCGAAGGCGUGGGGAGCAAACAGG